RNAcentral lists this ribosomal RNA (429 nucleotides) under uncultured bacterium. RNAcentral describes it as "bacterial SSU rRNA". It matches the Rfam family "Bacterial small subunit ribosomal RNA", at positions 355 to 775 of the family's 1533-position model. The record is from RNAcentral.
UGAGGAAUAUUGCGCAAUGGGGGCAACCCUGACGCAGCAACGCCGCGUGAGUGAGGAAGGUUUUCGGACCGUAAAGCUCUGUCGAGCGGGAAGAAAUGCAUGGUGGCUAAUAUCCAUCGUGCUUGACGGUACCGCUAAAGGAAGCACCGGCUAGCUCCGUGCCAGCAGCCGCGGUAAUACGGGGGGUGCGAGUGUUGUUCGGAAUUAUUGGGCGUAAAGAGCGUGUAGGCGGCCGAAUAAGUCAGAUGUGAAAUCCCUGGGCUUAACCCAGGACGUGCAUUUGAAACUAUUCGGCUAGAGUAGGGAAGAGGAAAGUGGAAUUCCUGGUGUAGAGGUGGAAUUCGUAGAUAUCAGGAGGAACACCGGUGGCGAAGGCGACUUUCUGGCCCUAUACUGACGCUGAGACGCGAGGGCGUGGGUAGCAAACAG